This 835-nucleotide ribosomal RNA is filed under the name Kocuria rhizophila. RNAcentral describes it as "bacterial SSU rRNA". It matches the Rfam family "Bacterial small subunit ribosomal RNA", at positions 64 to 904 of the family's 1533-position model. Lineage: Bacteria; Bacillati; Actinomycetota; Actinomycetes; Micrococcales; Micrococcaceae. The record is from RNAcentral.
GAACGCUGAAGCUUGGUGCUUGCACUGGGUGGAUGAGUGGCGAACGGGUGAGUAAUACGUGAGUAACCUGCCCUUGACUCUGGGAUAAGCCUGGGAAACUGGGUCUAAUACUGGAUACGACAUGUCACUGCAUGGUGGUGUGUGGAAAGGGUUUUACUGGUUUUGGAUGGGCUCACGGCCUAUCAGCUUGUUGGUGGGGUAAUGGCCUACCAAGGCGACGACGGGUAGCCGGCCUGAGAGGGUGACCGGCCACACUGGGACUGAGACACGGCCCAGACUCCUACGGGAGGCAGCAGUGGGGAAUAUUGCACAAUGGGCGGAAGCCUGAUGCAGCGACGCCGCGUGAGGGAUGACGGCCUUCGGGUUGUAAACCUCUUUCAGCACGGAAGAAGCGAGAGUGACGGUACGUGCAGAAGAAGCGCCGGCUAACUACGUGCCAGCAGCCGCGGUAAUACGUAGGGCGCAAGCGUUGUCCGGAAUUAUUGGGCGUAAAGAGCUCGUAGGCGGUUUGUCGCGUCUGCUGUGAAAGCCCGGGGCUUAACCCCGGGUGUGCAGUGGGUACGGGCAGACUUGAGUGCAGUAGGGGAGACUGGAAUUCCUGGUGUAGCGGUGAAAUGCGCAGAUAUCAGGAAGAACACCGAUGGCGAAGGCAGGUCUCUGGGCUGUUACUGACGCUGAGGAGCGAAAGCAUGGGGAGCGAACAGGAUUAGAUACCCUGGUAGUCCAUGCCGUAAACGUUGGGCACUAGGUGUGGGGGACAUUCCACGUUUUCCGCGCCGUAGCUAACGCAUUAAGUGCCCCGCCUGGGGAGUACGGCCGCAAGGCUAAAACUCAA